UGACGUGUGGAGGUACCUCACGAGGGAUGAGGAUGAGGAAGACAGCUCAGAGGUUGAGAUUGAGCUGUGGCAGGGAUAUCCGUACGGUCUACUGUGGUACGCGUUCGUCCUUCUAGCGUCACAAGUACAUUUCUUCCAGUUAUAUUUCUCGUACAACCUACUCAAGGCAUGGCGGGCCAGAGGGUCAUUAAGGAAAACCGACUAAACUAAUAUUACAAUAACGUUCAUUUUACGUCGACGCAGUGUCACUGCCAAGUGCAAAUGAGGCGAGUGUGCAGUGUAUUAAAAAUAAUGAGGAGUGGAAUUUAUAUUUAAAUGUCUUUUUAUUUAUGUUUAUUUGUGGUUUCGCCCGUUAUUUAUUUAGAAAUUAAUGAAUAUGUACGCCAUAUAAUACUUUAUAAAUAUCUAUGUCUUCGAAGUAAUAACUAUGUUGUCCUUUUCUACGUAAUUUAAAAUAAUGUAAGAGUGAAAAAGACGAACAUUAUUCAAGUUGUAGGUAAGGAAGUUUGUACAGUAAAUUUGGGAGUAAUUUGUCGUGUCUCUAUUUGUCUGAAAAAUGAUUAAUGAAGUUAAAAUGUUCAUGUAACUAUUCUAGAUAUUUUGACGUUGAUGUGAGUAUUUAAAAUGGACAUGGAAAUGUGCAAAACGACUCAACGAAGUUCAAAUUAUGUACCCAAUAAUUGUACAUAUUUAGUCAUUACACCCAAAUUUAAUAUAAUAAGAAAUUUAAAUGGAAUAAUGGCAACCCUUUUACUUUGACAAAUGUUACCAUUUUUAAAACCAAAAUGGAGUGAGCCUAAGGCCUACAUUUAAUGUAAAAAAAAAAAAUUGAUGUAAAAACAUUAUCAAAGUAAAUUAAUUUGUAGACAACCUAGAUUAUUCAAUGUCUAUUUUAGAUACAUGUUAUAGAUUCGGUAGUUGGAAGCACAAAUGACAUUUUUAUAUAAAUAUAUACGUUUGAAAUAUAUUUUUUCACUUAUUGUA
Manduca sexta (tobacco hornworm) is the source of this 984-nucleotide long non-coding RNA. RefSeq lists it as uncharacterized. The transcript is spliced from 2 exons. Lineage: Eukaryota; Metazoa; Arthropoda; Insecta; Lepidoptera; Sphingidae. The record is from RefSeq and is a predicted model, not a curated record.